AUCAACGCUGGCGGCGUGCCUAACCCAUGCAAGUCGAACGCGAAAGCCCCGCAAGGGGUAAGUAGAGUGGCAAACGGGUGAGUAACACGUGGGUGACCUGCCUUCGAGUGGGGGAUAACGUCCCGAAAGGGACGCUAAUACCGCAUGACAUCCUGCUUUUGAAAAAGCGGAGAUCAAAGCUGGGGAUCGCAAGACCUAGCGCUUGAAGAGGGGCCCGCGCCUGAUUAGCUAGUUGGUGAGGUAACGGCUCACCAAGGCGACGAUCAGUAUCCGGCCUGAGAGGGCGGACGGACACACUGGGACUGAGACACGGCCCAGACUCCUACGGGAGGCAGCAGUGGGGAAUUGUUCGCAAUGGGCGCAAGCCUGACGACGCAACGCCGCGUGGAGGACGAAGAUCUUCGGGUCGUAAACUCCUGUCGAGCGGGACGAACGCUUCGCGGAUGAAUAAUCCGCGGAAUUGACGGUACCGCUAAAGGAAGCCCCGGCUAACUCCGUG
Molecule: ribosomal RNA, 499 nt
Filed under: uncultured bacterium
Lineage: Bacteria
Description: partial 16S ribosomal RNA
Rfam family: Bacterial small subunit ribosomal RNA
Source: RNAcentral